Molecule: ribosomal RNA, 253 nt
Filed under: uncultured bacterium
Lineage: Bacteria
Description: partial 16S ribosomal RNA
Rfam family: Bacterial small subunit ribosomal RNA
Source: RNAcentral
UACGUAGGGUGCAAGCGUUGUCCGGAAUUAUUGGGCGUAAAGAGCUCGUAGGCGGUUUGUCGCGUCUGCUGUGAAAACUCGGGGCUUAACUGUGAGCGUGCGGGCGAUACGGGCAGACUUGAGUACUGCAGGGGAGACUGGAAUUCCUGGUGUAGCGGUGGAAUGCGCAGAUAUCAGGAAGAACACCCGUGGCGAAGGCGGCUCUCUGGGACGGUACUGACGCUGAGACGCGAAAGCGUGGGGAGCGAACAGG